UACGGGAGGCAGCAGUGGGGAAUAUUGCACAAUGGACGGAAGGUCUGAUGCAGCAACGCCGCGUGGACGGAUGACACAUUUACGGUGCGUAAACUCCUUUUAUAUGAGAAGAUAAUGACCGUUUCUCG
This 128-nucleotide ribosomal RNA is filed under the name uncultured bacterium. RNAcentral's name for it is "partial 16S ribosomal RNA". It matches the Rfam family "Bacterial small subunit ribosomal RNA", at positions 340 to 464 of the family's 1533-position model. The record is from RNAcentral.